This 278-nucleotide long non-coding RNA is filed under the name Manihot esculenta (cassava). RNAcentral describes it as "long non-coding RNA (MESC_LNC002468)". Lineage: Eukaryota; Viridiplantae; Streptophyta; Magnoliopsida; Malpighiales; Euphorbiaceae. The record is from RNAcentral.
AUCAAUUUAUGCUAUUUUGUUAUGCAUUUUUAGAAUCCUGGUAAACAGUUGUUUUAUUUGAAUUGGGCUUCCUAAGUUCUAGUUGUGCCCAUUUUAGGGAGCGAAAAUGAGAACCUCUCAGAUGUUCCUUUACUCUUCAUUUCCUUUUAAUUUUACUACUUGGGAUAAAUGAGAACCUCUCAGAUGUUCCUUUACUCUUCAUUUCCUUUUAAUUUUACUACUUGGGAUAAACUCACAACUGAAAUAGCUUCUUUGCUGUUUUAUGUUCAGACACAAAG